RNAcentral lists this transfer RNA (69 nucleotides) under Ictidomys tridecemlineatus (thirteen-lined ground squirrel). RNAcentral describes it as "Spermophilus tridecemlineatus (thirteen-lined ground squirrel) tRNA". It matches the Rfam family "tRNA". From Rfam's summary of the family: Transfer RNA (tRNA) molecules are approximately 80 nucleotides in length. The record is from Rfam by way of RNAcentral. RNAcentral also lists the same sequence under 1 other name. Lineage: Eukaryota; Metazoa; Chordata; Mammalia; Rodentia; Sciuridae.
GGGGUUGUAGCUCAGUGGUAGAGCACAUGCCUAGCAUGGGUGGGGCACUGGGUUCGAUCCUCAGCACCA